This is a long non-coding RNA of Meriones unguiculatus (Mongolian gerbil), 2881 nucleotides long. RefSeq lists it as uncharacterized. The record is from RefSeq and is a predicted model, not a curated record. The transcript is spliced from 2 exons. Lineage: Eukaryota; Metazoa; Chordata; Mammalia; Rodentia; Muridae.
UGAGCCAGGUUCAGAUAAACCUCAAAAAAAAAAAAAUGCUGCUGAGAAGAAAAAUAUAGUCUCAUAAGUUAUCUUUGCCAUCUAACUCUCCCCUAGCCCAAGAAGACUACCAUUCUCUACUCUGUUGUAGUGAACAUUGUUGAUAGGCAUUGUUCAUGGACUUAUGCGAUAGAUAGAUAGAUAGAUAGAUAGAUAGAUAGAUAGAUAGAUAGAUAGAUAGAUACAGAGAUAGAUACAGAGAUAGAUACAGAGAUAGAUACAGAGAUAGAUACAGAGAUAGAUAGAUGAUAGAUGAUAUAAACACAUAGGUAGAGAUAGAUAUAUGAUUCAUAGAUAGAUGAUAUGUAAAAAUUAUCUAUAUGCAAUAUAAUUUUUCACAUUAAAUAAGUAUCUUAUUAAAACUUUAAAAUGAGGGAGGGAAGUCUAACGUUAACCCACACAUUUUCUUUUCCUCAGAAUCACCCUUCUGUGAGGAACAGAGGUGCCUACACUCCGGCUCUGCUCAGUCGUUGACUGAACUUUCCAGGGGAGAAUUCCUUCCCUGGCAUGAAGCAGGCUGCAUUAGCCAAAGAAAGCUGUCAGACAGACAGAGGCUGCUACUGGCAGUAGGUCACAGAGCUGGCUCCCUAUGAGAGGGCAAGGCUGAGAAAAGGGAAGGGCAGUGUUUACCCCAGUUACUAAUUACAUGUGCCAUGUUAUAGAACACACUGCCACCUGGCACACCGAGUGGGGCCCCCAAGGCCCUUCUCUGGAUUUGACCCUCCCUAUGGGACAAAAAGCACCUAAGGACCUAAUAGGAGGGGCCCUCUUGGAACCCAGGCAAGCCUUCUAGACUCUGUGCCAAGUAGCUGGAACCUUGGAACAUCUCAAUUAAAGAUAUGCCGAAGUCCUGACCCCCUCAGGGGCAAUGCCUCAGCCUGUGACCUUAUUUCGAAACAGUAAAAUACAACCAGGUGAAAAUGAGAUCAGGGUGAACCCUAAUCCAAGAUGAACAAUGUUCUAAUCUUUAAAAAAGUAAGUUUGAACACAAAAAACAGAUAAUGGAAGGAGGAUAGCAAAAAACAGCCAGAGAGAAAUUGUUCAUCUCUAAGCCAAGAAGAGCAUCCUUGAGACCCCAGCAGGAACUGAGACGUGGACACCCUGAUGUGGAUGUUCAGCCUUCAGAACCAUCAAGUGAGAGAGUGCUUGAUGCCAGAUGCCGCAGAGUUGAAGGAUUUCUGAGCCCUCCACAUUCUUUAUAAACAGAGCUGGAAGACAUGACUAGACGGAAUGCCAAAAAAUUGGAUAGAACUUCUCCCAAGUUUUCUAACUUGCAGUUUGCCAUUCUUAAGAUAAAAACAGCCCCUUAAAGAGCCCAGGUGCCCGUUGUCUGUGGCUUGUAACCGCUCAUAGGUAAACAGAUUGAGGACACCUAAGCGUGAAAGAUGCGCCUGUGGGCCUGGCCUCCCCUCUUCCCUUUUCUGCCUCUCACUCUCAGCACCUUCUUCUCCAGCCCUCUUCCCAUUACUACCCUGAGCUCACUACUGUCCCUCACCCCAGCCUUCCCUUGUCUCCUAACUGAGCCAGGGUCCGGUUUAACCGCUACGCAGCACAAAGGCCUAAACUGUACCACAAACAGCUUCUCACUGGCCAUCAAUUCACUCAUUCAUAAAUGGGGUUGACAACAUACCCUCCCCACAAGGCAGUUAGCAUUGACUAAGAGCACUCUCUAGAAACUUCAUAGCUCCAGGCAAAAUUUCUUCUACAUUCUACAUCAGUCUGGACUGUUAGCCUAUGGCAGGUAGGUGUGUCAGGGGGCCCCUGGCAUCCUGUGUCCAGGGGAGGAACUCAGCUUUGGGUCAGUGGUUGGAAGUGUCAGGCUGAGGGCUGUUCCGUUUGUGGCCAGCUCUCUCCUUCCUCAUUCUCAUUCACAAGCACACCCGGCCACAGCUCAAGGAGUCUGGGAGGCAACUCCCAGCUUCAUGGAACCUUGGAUUCCUAUAUGGCCAUCCCUGAACUUUGGCUUCCUACUGCUUUUCAGCAUAAGAUUGGUAGCUUCUAAUACAACUGUGUUGGUGCACAAGAGCAGAGCCCAGGCUCAGCAUAUGUGCGGGACGGUAAGAGGAUCUCAAAUGCCCUGUGAAGAAAUGCACUGAGACCAGCGGAAGGCCAUGGGAUUGGAGGUAAAGACAAUGACAAAAAGGAAUGGCAAAUUUCAAAGGGAACCUUCUCAUCUGAUUCAAAGUACACUGAAGACAGGAAUAAGGAAUCAUCUGUGGGACUUUCUUAUAGAAAUAUGAUAAUUAUGGCCACUUAUGUAAAAAGCUAAACAUUUUUGCCUAACUACUGUGUACCUCUGCAACCGACAUUCUGCUUACUGGACAGUGUAAGCUCACUCUUGCUCAGCUGGUGCUCAUGGCACCUACGACCCUGCUGACUGUCAGCUCCCUGUCCCCAGUAAUACUAAGACAGACUCUGAUACAACCUCUGCAAGGUAGGGUGUGUGUGUGUCUGUGUAUGUAUAUGUGUGCAUGUACAUAUAGCUAUGUGUAUGUAUAUAUGCAUCCUGUGUGUCCAUGUAUGUACACGUAUGUGAAUGUGUCUGUAUGGCUACCUAUAUGUGUAUGUAUAUUUGUGUCUGGGUGUGCUUGUAUCUCUAUGUCUAUAUGUGUGUCUCUGUAUGUGUGUGUAUGUCUGUCUGUCUCUGUCUUCAUGUGUAUCCAUCUCCCUAUGCAUCCUCCAUCUUUGGUAGAGCUGUAUUGGUGGAGGGAGGGGAAAAGGUGGUUCAUUUUAAAUGGCUGUUCAGGAUGAUGGACUCUGGAUGUGCAUAUGCUGACAGGAAUGUGAACAAAUUUUAAAACUCUCUUCUAAUGGAUAAGUAAACAAAACAAUGAUGAAAGAU